GUCUGUGGUGGUACAUGGGAGCUGUCUCACAGGUCUGUGGUGGUACAUGGGAGCUGUCCCAGAGGUCUGUGGUGGUACAUGGGAGCUGUCCCAGAGGUCUGUGGUGGUACAUGGGAGCUGUCCCAGAGGUCUGUGGUGGUACAUGGGAGCUGUCCCAGAGGUCUGUGGUGGUACAUGGGAGCUGUCUCAGAGGUCUGUGGUGGUACAUGGGAGCUGUCUCAGAGGUCUGUGGUGGUGCAUGGGAACUGUCUCAGAGGGUCCCCGCUUGUGUUAUCAAGGACACAGGACUCUGAGUGAAACUGACAUGUGCUGUAAAGGAAGGUGAGAGAUGGUGCAUGGCUUAAUCAGGUCGUAGCUUCCAGAUCAAUAACAUUUUUAUCAUCCGCAUUUCAUAGUUCAGGAAAACAUCUUGCCCAUAGUUAUCCCAUUUAUUUUCUCAAGUCUGGUCUUGGAUUUGGAGUCCAGUGCCCAUGAUCAGAGAUGCCACACAGGGGAAAAAAACUCCUAAGUGCCUAAUAAAUUUAGCAACAGUGUUCAUUUUAAGGAGACACCAAUUUUGUGAGGUGGUCUUUCAGGGGGAAGGGAUGGGAGAUGUGGA
Molecule: non-coding RNA, 598 nt
Organism: Oryctolagus cuniculus (rabbit)
Lineage: Eukaryota; Metazoa; Chordata; Mammalia; Lagomorpha; Leporidae
Source: RefSeq, a predicted model, not a curated record